GUAGGGUGCGAGCGUUAAUCGGAAUUACUGGGCGUAAAGGGUGCGCAGGCGGUUCCGCAAGUCAGGCGUGAAAUCCCCGGGCUUAACCUGGGAAUUGCGCUUGAAACUACGGGACUGGAGUAUGGCAGAGGGAGGUGGAAUUCCACGUGUAGCGGUGAAAUGCGUAGAGAUGUGGAGGAACACCGAUGGCGAAGGCAGCCUCCUGGGCCAAUACUGACGCUCAUACACGAAAGCGUGGGGAGCAAACAGGAUUAGAUACCCUGGUAGUCCACGCCCUAAACGAUGAUGACUAGUUGUUGGAGGAGUUAAAUCCUUUAGUAACGCAGCUAACGCGAGAAGUCAUCCGCCUGGGGAGUACGGUCGCAAGAUUA
This 371-nucleotide ribosomal RNA is filed under the name uncultured bacterium. RNAcentral's name for it is "bacterial SSU rRNA". It matches the Rfam family "Bacterial small subunit ribosomal RNA", at positions 527 to 896 of the family's 1533-position model. The record is from RNAcentral.